Molecule: ribosomal RNA, 253 nt
Filed under: uncultured bacterium
Lineage: Bacteria
Description: partial 16S ribosomal RNA
Rfam family: Bacterial small subunit ribosomal RNA
Source: RNAcentral
UACGUAGGGAGCAAGCGUUGUCCGGAAUCAUUGGGCGUAAAGCGCGCGUAGGCGGCCCGGUAAGUCCGUCGUGAAAGUCAAAGGCUCAACCUUUGAAUGUCGAUGGAUACUGCCGGGCUAGAGUCCGGAAGAGGCGAGUGGAAUUCCUGGUGUAGCGGUGAAAUGUGUUGAUAUUGGAAGGAACACCGGAGGCGAAAGCGGUGUACUGGGGCUGGUCUGACGCUGAGGCACGAAAGCCAGGGGAGCGAACGGG